UUAUCUUCCUCAGAAAACACAAACCCCAAAUCCAUAAACCCUUUCAGCUCCUCAAACUCAAGGUCUGAUAAACUCUUACUGCUCUUCUUCUUCUUCUUAUUCAUCUUCUUCUUCCUUUUUGGCUUCACAGCUAUCUCCAUCUCUUCGUGUUGCUCAUUAUUAACUCUUUCACUUGCAAACUCAGUAACUUCUUUGCCAGAUGCAAUUGUUUGAAGCUUUGGUGUUAGCAGAGAAUGAUCAGAAGAGAAGCUUGUGGUACAACUUUUGCAGCUCGCCAAAGCAUAGUCGCUUAAAGACCGGACAUGGAGAAUUGGUAAGCUUGAAACCUUUGG
This 332-nucleotide long non-coding RNA is filed under the name Citrus maxima (pomelo). RNAcentral's name for it is "long non-coding RNA (CMAX_LNC000567)". The record is from RNAcentral. Lineage: Eukaryota; Viridiplantae; Streptophyta; Magnoliopsida; Sapindales; Rutaceae.